This 467-nucleotide ribosomal RNA is filed under the name uncultured eukaryote. Its description in RNAcentral is "SSU rRNA". It matches the Rfam family "Eukaryotic small subunit ribosomal RNA", at positions 30 to 492 of the family's 1831-position model. The record is from RNAcentral.
GCUUCUCUCAAAGAUUAAGCCAUGCAUGUCUAAGUACAAGCUUGUAUCAAGCGAAACUGCGGAUGGCCUCAUUAAAUCAGUCAUGGUUCCUUGGACCGAGUUUCCCUUACAUGGAUAACUGUGGUAAUUUAGAGCUAAUACAUGCCACCAAGCGCCGACCUUACGGAAGGCGUGCUUUUAUUAGGAACAAGAUCAACCCGGCUCGUCCGGCUUAGUUGGUGAACUCUGGAUAACUUAGCAGAUCGCACGGUCAUCGUACCGGCGACAGAUCCUUCAAACGUCUGCCCCUAUCAACUUUCGAUGGUACGUUAUGCGCCUACCAUGGUCGUAACGGGUAACGGAGAAUCAGGGUUCGAUUCCGGAGAGGGAGCCUGAGAAAUGGCUACCACAUCCAAGGAAGGCAGCAGGCGCGCAAAUUACCCACUCUCGACACGGGAGGUAGUGACGAAAAAUAACAAUACAGGACU